This 8065-nucleotide long non-coding RNA is filed under the name Heterocephalus glaber (naked mole-rat). RNAcentral's name for it is "lncRNA (ENSHGLG00000045040.1)". The record is from RNAcentral. Lineage: Eukaryota; Metazoa; Chordata; Mammalia; Rodentia; Bathyergidae.
CCCACCUGGCCUGCCCCAUGCAGCCAGACUGACUUUAGAGAGGGAAAUGGAAGGAUGUGUCUGGCUAUUCUCAAGCUGAGAGUGGACAGAGCAGCGGGCAGUUCCAGGGGGCGGCCCUCCGAGGUCUGGUCGCAGUGGCAGAGCCAGCACCACGGGCAGCAGAGCGGUGAGCAGCACUCCCAUCAGCAGCCUGGCCAGACUGAAGUGUUCCAGGACAUGCUGCCUAUGCCAGGAGACCCAACCCAGGGGACUGGCAACUAUAACAUCGAGGACUUUGCCGACCUAGGCAUGUUCCCACCCUUUUCUGAGUAGCUGUGGGCAGAGCAAGGCUCCCUGUGCAGGGCCACCACCGCGCUGUGACAUCGACACCAGCUUGCCCUGCUGCAGGACCCCACCACAGUGCCCUCACCCCCUGCGCACCCCCAGGCAUGGCGCUACUCGCUCUCACCCACAGCUCUGGCUUCUCUGUUGCUACUGACCAGGGCCCUGCUGGACGUCUGGGGCUUGGUUGUAUUUAUUGCAUUUUAUCUGUGUGUGCUCAGGAGGUGAGCUCUCUGGCCCUCACACUCAGCUAUGAAUAGUCCCUUGUAAGCGUGCAUGUACACCAGGAGGAGUUCACUUGAAACUCAGAGCAGCAGCGGGCCUGCCUGGGACUCUGGAAUGGCUUCUGCUUGCUUUUCACACCUGCUAGCUGGUGGCCUGGGGUGGGAUAAGAGGCAGGGAGAGUCAGGGCCUUUGUCACACCCUGGAGCCGAGGAGUGUGGGGACUUGGGGAUGCCCACUGCCCUGCUGCUGUGCCUGUGGGCCCAUUGUGACGUGGAUGUUUGUGCUUUGUGUGGUGAGACACAUGUGUGUGUUUUGUGUGUUGUGCCUCGUGUCUGUUGUGUGUGGCCAGAGUGGGUCGUAGAAUCCAGACCAUAAGGAGGGUAAGAACGAGAAUACGCACCCCCUGCCCCUCCCAGUGCUCAGCAGUGCCCUCACCAAGAAUGCUGGCUCAGGGCGGCAGGGAGGGGGACCGACAGGCUGGCCCUUCCACAGUGUCACCAGGAGCCGGGGCUGGGGACCUACUCACUGUGAGGGGUCAGUUAUUUGGUCUGUGCCUCUGCUUCAGAACCAAGCUCCUCCAUGCAAGAGAAGCAGCCUUUCCUCCUCUCAGAGCCCCAGGCAUCAUUUACAUCUCUCACUGACAGCAGGGACAGAAUGCCUGGCCUCCUGGGCCAUGUCCUGGAGUGGACAGGAGCAGCUGUUGUGUGGAGAGGGCACCUGAUGCUCUGUCCCCCAGAGGGACACAGAGAGUGCAGGUCUGUGAGGCAGUGGACUGGGCUCCUCCCACAUAGUCUCUGGGGCCCUGAGUCCUCGGUUUACUCAAAACAGGAGUACUGGCUGACUUCCAGAAGCCUCCGCCUGCUGCCCACUUAGCCCAAGGUCCCUGGCUUACUGUGUUUGGCUUUUAUAGUCCCCUGCAUCCUCCUGCACCUUUCCCAGGUGAGGGCUGUCUCCGUCUCCCUUGUUGGCCUCUUUUCCCACCAGUCACCUUGUUUUCCCACUGCCACCCAUCAGCCCUCUGAUGCCCACGUGGGACAGAGGAGCCCACCCUUGGGAGAGCUGUGGUCCCUCCAAGAGUCCCUGCAGACACUGCACAGCACCGUGUCCUUGCCAAUAGGUCCCAGAGGUCAGGAAAAUGAAUGAAUGGAGGAAGCCCAAGUACAGGGAGGAGUAGGGCCGUUGCUCUGGCCCCCUGGGAGCGCUGCCUGGUGCCCAGGCCUUUUGACCUGUCAAAAGCCAGCCUUCCUCAGCAGGAUGCCCUCCCCUGGGACCUGGCCUUCUGUGGUCCCCAUUCUGAGACCAGCUGAGGGCCAGCCCUGAAGUCUGUAGAAGCAGCUUUUAGUCCUCAUGUAGACAGUGGUAAUCGGGUCCUGGGUGUAGAUGCAUGUGUUUGCUCUGUCCUCAGAGGAGCUCUUGCUGCUGGGGAAAUGGGAGUAACCACGGGCAGCCCCAGCUUGGGCUCCUGGUGCCAACCAGCACCCUCUCAGUGCCUAGCGCUGGGCUUGCUCUGGGCAACAAGCAUAAUCUUUCCCCCCAAAAAAGGCAUAAAAAUAGCUUUAGGAGCAAAGAAGUAUUUCUUGGUGAAAGGGAAAUAGACUUGGUGUGGCCUUUAGCUUGUGAGUUUGGAAGGUUCACUUCUGCCCUCUGCAUGUCAGAGGACAGUUGGGGGCACCAGAGAGCAGCCGACUGUGCUGCUGCCCCUGGUGGUCUGUGCUGGACCCUGAGGGAUCUGUAACCAGCAGAGAAAACCUUGCUCCCACCCACCUCCCAUCUGCUUCUCUGACCUCAGCAGUGAAGGAUUCCUGGUCCUGGGAGGCACGGCAUAAGGAGAGUAGUGAUCACCAACCACCAAGGCCUGACCUCCUCCCUCCCUGUCUUGUCCUGGGAGUUGGGCGUGACCAGAGUGGAGUCUGAUGGGUGGGUAUGAGCCCCAUGUCUUUUCUGUCCCCACUCUGCAUUUCAUUGUGAUUCUCAGAAGCCGUCUUGUAGACAGUAAGAAAGUAGAUGAGGAGUGACAGGGAGAAGCCUAGGACUGGGGCGGAGCUCACCAGGGCAUAAGAACACACCCCUGAACUGGGCUUAGUGACCUGGUUUGGAAAAGAAUCCCCCAUACCCAUCUGGCUGGCCCAGGAGGCCAUGGUGCUGGUGGGCCCUGAUGUCUGCUUGGCCUGCAGCCCGUGCCCAGCCAGGCCCCCUCCCUGCCAGAGACGGGUCAUUGCCAGAUGAGAAAGGGGAGGCAUGGGGCUUCCUGUAGCAGUGAGUUGGUUCCUGUCUCCUGGAUGUUCCCCAGCUUCUCCUCAGGCUGAGGGUCCCACCGUCACUGCCAUCAGCGACAACAUACUGAGGCGCCACCAGGACUGGCCAGUAAUGGUGAUAGUGGCUGGGAAGGUUCUAGAACACGCUGCCUGCAUGUCCCUCUGCUCUGGCUUUGUUGUUAGCUCUGUUCGGGGAGCGAGAGGCCAUCACAGGAGCCACGUUCUCCUUCACUUCCCAACAUAUCAGGUUCAGCCCUCUGGUUACUUCAUUACUAGAGAACAGUGCCGUGGGGAGGGGAGGUGCCAGUCCCUAACAGCUUACACUGGGGUCUGCUGCAUCAGUACAGCGAUUAUGUCCCCAGGUUAGCCACACCUGCCAGUAUCAGUUCUCCAAACAGCUUGGCACAGGAGGAGGCAGGCCCCAGGCAUUGAGGAAGGCUCGCUGUCCCACACACAAGGGCCAGCCAUGAGCUGUGUGCAAACCAUGCCUGCUCACCCAUGAGGGCCAUCUGCUCAUAACAGUUAUCACCUGUCACUUAAACAGGAACCAGCCAGGUGGCCAGUGAUAGAACAUAUGCGCUCUUUGUAUUACUGGAAAGGGGGCUGGUCAGGAUGUUGCUGGUCCGAACCUCUGCUAGGAGUCCAGCUUCCCCAUCCCUACUGGAUCUCAUGCACCAGGAACCAUAAGCACCCUCAUGUCUGCCUGCACCGCUGCCUGGGGUCCAGGGGAACUGGAAGAGGUGCCACACAGGGCAUGCGCACAUUUUCACACCGCACACCUGGGUCUCAUGGCCAGAGCUGCUUUAUGGUCCAGAAACCAGCCAAAGCCCAGGGGCUACCAACUAGCAAAACCCAGGCUUGACAGGCUGGGCAGGAGCAGAGCAGCUUGCUUCAUCUAACAAUCAGUUUUCUUAAAAGAUCUCACAAGCAGGUUUCAGUGAACAACAAGCACUUAAUCAUCUCUCUCUUAACCUUUCUUCUUAUGGAUGUGAACUGUGCUGUGGAUAAGUCAUUGUUUGUAAUUCUUGAAUGUUCUCCAUGACUAACAGUUAUUAAGUCGGUGUGUAUAUGUAUAACUAAUGUAACUGCCUCUGAAAUUUUCAGUAAAAUAAAAAUGACUUUGCUCUGAACCCUAAACCCCCAGGCCGGCUUUAUAAUGGACCUGCUCAUGGAACCUGCCCCUCGGGUUUGGGGACAUCUGGCAUUGCACCCUUCCUUAGGGUCACACUGUGUCAGAGUCACUCAUAGGUAUUAACAGGCCACCUUUGGGACUCUAGUGACCUAGGAUAGAAGAGAAAACACAAUUCCUGAGCUCCUGUGUAAGGCAAGGCUCUUUAGGAAUGUCUUUACAAAUACUUCUUUUUUAAUCAUUAUAGAUCUGUAAUCUGUGGUUACUACUCCUGGGUUAUAUAGGAAACUGGUUAAGUGACUUAUCUGAGAAUGUACCAGAAGGAAGUGGUAGAACCAAGCUCUGAUCUCAGGUCUCACUCAAAAGCCCUUUCCUUUCCAAACACUCAUUACUUUUUUAAAAAAUUCACAGAAUUAAAUUACUAAUAAAUACUAACAAAUUCUAUUUUUCUCUGUUGAAAGAGGACUACUUGAAGACCCUUGGCUUUACUGACUGAUCACAGACAUAAAAUGCACAUAUUUAAAGUGUACAUAGGAGAAAUUGUGUGGCUGUGAAUUGGAUGCAGACAGCUUAGAUGGUACACCAAACAUAUGACCUAUCAAAAAAAGUAAAUUGACAAACUGAACAUAUAAUAUAAAACAUUUACUUCUCAAAAGAUACUUUUAAGAGAAUGAAAACAUAAGCCACUGGCUGGGGAAGAAACAAUUACAAAUCAUAUAUCUAAAGAACACUUAAAAUUUAAUACAACAAACAAUUUAGCACAAAAUAGGCAAAAAAUAUUUGAAAUACACGUUCGAAUUAUGCCACAGAAGAUGUACAGAGGCCAGCUAGCUACAAUGAUACACACCUAUAGUCUCAGCUACUCAGGAGGCUGAGGCAGGAGGAUCACCUGAGCCCAAGACUUUGAGGCUACCCUGAGCGACAUAGCAGGAGUCUAACUCAAAAACAAAACUACAGAGGGCAAAUAAGCACAUGAAAAUAAUGGUCAGUAUUAUUAGUCAUCAGGGAAAUGCCAAGGAAAACUCCAUGAGAUAUUCUAACAUUUGACUAAAAUUUAGCAACUGUCCAGGAUAUGGGAGAAAUAGAACUCUCAUAUGGGCAAAGCAGUACAGCCUCGCCGCUGUACAAACCAUUCAGUGGUUUCUUGUGAUGUUAGGCAUCACUCACCCUGCAACCUGGCUUUCCACAGCUUGUCCCUUCGCAGGAGAGAUGGAACGAAUGUUGACACAAGGACCCUCAGCAAUAUUCAUUGCAGCCUCAGGUGCAAUCACCAGGGAUUAACGUAACCUAAGUGUCCAUAGAUGGGGGACAGAUAUGCAGAUCCUGGCACACCAAAGAACAGUACUCAGCCACAACAGCGAAUAAACUGCUAACAGAAGCAACAACACAAAAGACACAAAAGCUUUAGUGCAGAGCAGAAGCCAGGCACACAGAGCAUGUAAAUGCAUUCUGGAAAGUCCAGCAAAGCCAGGGACCAGCCUGACCACAGGACAGAGGGAAGGACGGGGACAAAGGCUGGGGUGAUGGGAAGGUCCCAUAUUGAUAGGAGCAAGGUAUAUACAGAAGACAAAGGUCACCAAACCAUUCACUCAAGAAGAGCACAUUAAACUACAUUGUACUCAAGUCUUAUCUAAUAAAGUCAGGGUUCAAAUAAUCUCAGCAGAAUUUUUUGUAGAAUGCAUCUAGAUGAUUCCAAAUUUUCUGUGGAAUAAAAAGGAAACACAACAGGCAAUGUAUUUUACUGAAUAAGAUAUAAAGAUGAAGAGAAGAAAAGAGGAAAAAGAACAAGUGUUCCUCCUACCAGAGAGGGAGAAGUUUAAUAAUUGAAAUUGUGGGCUUGGCAUGGAGAUUAGAAACAAGAUCAAUAGAACACAACAAAGUCCCUAGAUAUCCAUACAUAUCAGAUAGGAGUCUUAUUGGGAAGACUUAAUGUUCAUAAUUACGGGGAUCAGAGAGGCUUUCAAUAAACAGUGUUGGGGCCGUGUACACAGGAAAAGAAAUAAUGGUAUGCUUGUCUUAAAAUAUGAAGCACGUGGGGGCUGGGGAUUUAGCUCAGUGGUUGCGCUGCCUACCUUGCAAGCACAAGGACCCAAGUUCAACUCCCCGUACCAAAAAAAAAAAAAAAAUGAAUGAAGCAUGUUUGAAAACUAGACAGUGCUUAUGUUUUUAAUUUAUUAGAGUAAAAAACACAUUGCCAUUAACCCCCCUAAAAAUACUGCCCCUUGGUUCAAACACACUGUCGUUUCUUGCCACUUUCUGAAGCAGUUCUGGAAGUCCUCUUUCAUGUGUGUAUCCUGGCUGUCUCCAUGUCCAAAUCAAUUCAAAACAUUUACCUUUCAUGUUAAUUUUGACUUUGCGGAAGAGCCAAAAGAAUAAGGUGGAUAAGGACAUGCCAUGUUUUUUACAAGCCUGCCUUUCCAUUGGAUGGCACUUGGCAACAGCAUUCACUGCGUGUUUUACCACACCUCAAAAAAACAUGAAUUUCCAGAACUGCUCUGCAAAAGAUAAGAAUAAUGUGAUUAGUGUGUUUGAGUGAAGGGAGUAUUUUGAGGGGGAUUAGUGGCCAUGUGCCCUUUACUGUAAUAAAGUUUUUUAUUUAAACAUUCACCAUAUAUUUCAAUCACUCUUGUGUAGAAAAAAAUAAAUUCUACACAGGUGAAAAUAUCUCAUUGUUAAAAGUAAUGUAUGUAGGACAUUUAAGACAAAAUCUUGGAAAACAUAUUUAUAAAAUCAAGUCAGCAAGGAUGUCUUAAAGCAGGCACAAAGAUGACUAUGAAGUAAAAUAUUGAUAAGCUCAAACUCAAUAAAAAGACACAAAAAUGCAAAUGAAACUCAAUUAACUGGUAGAAAACACUUGCAAUUUAUAUAUCUAACAGAAUAAAUAGUAUUCGGAAUAUAUGAAGAAUUCUCAGAAAUUUUUUUUUUUUACUUUGAGACAGGGUCUCACUGUGUGAUACAGGCUGGGUGUGAGCUCGCCCUGUGGCCCAGGCUGGCCUUGAACUCACAGUGAUCCUCCUGCCUCACCCACCCAAGCCCUGGGAUUAUAGGCAUGUGGCACCGUGCCCAGACCUCACUAAUCAACUCUUUAAAAUAUGCCGCAAUAGAUAGUCAAUUCAUAAAAACUCAAAUAAUGUUAAUUCUGUUAGAAUAACUUAACUUCAUUGAUAAUUAAGGGAGAUGAAAAAUUAAAACAAGAUAACUAUGGCAUUCAGAUUGACUAAGUCUGCAAACAUAGUUGCUAGUGAGGUUAUGGAGGAAUGGGCUCUCCUCCUAGGUGAGGGGAAAUCAGUUGAUUGCUGGGAGUGCACCAGGUGGUAUCAGGAAUGACAAAGCUGCGCAAAUCCUGGGACAGUGAUUGUAACCCCAUGAAACUUCCCACAGGUAUCCAGAGAGACUGAGUUAAUCUUGCCUAUUAACUUGAUAGAUUUGAUGACAUCUGAAUUAGUAAAGUACAAUUCUGGGUGCAUCUGGUAAUGAGUGCAUGACCUUUGGGACUAUAUCUGGUCCCUGGAUCUUUCUUCUCUGGCAUUUGCCCUGUUCUCUCCUUCCUGGCACCAUGAGGUAAGCAGCUAUGCUCUACCACACCCUUCCGCUAUGAUGUUCCUGCCUUGGAGCCAGCCAACCAUGGACUGAUACCUCUGAAACCGUGAGCCAAAUUAAAUCUCUUCUCCCUUAAAUUGGAAUUGUCAAGUGUUUUGUUUCAGCACCAGGAAAGCUAACUAAUACAGAGACAUAUACAAGAAUAUUCAUUGCUCUGUGAGCAAUAGUGAAAAGCAGGAAAGCUAUAUUUAGUAGAGAAAUUAACAAACUGAUUUAGUCAUACAGAGGAACCUAUUAGAGAACUUAAAUGACCUUGAUGCAGAAUUCUAAAAAUAUAACAUUGAAUUGAAAAUGCUGUGCAUAUUUUUAUAACUCAAAGUAUUAAUAUAUUUUGUUUGUGAAUAAAUAGAUAAGUAAUUUUUAAAAGUCCUAGAUGGAUGCACCCAACUCUGAAGGAUGGUUGUCUUUAGAAGAAAGAGGCAGGCAACUGACAUGGCUGAAUUCUUCAAAACAGAUUCAGAGAGGAAGGAGGAGGAGGAGAGAGGAGAAUUGUCAGAAAGUAAAGGGAAUAGAACAAGCAUCUGAAGCAAUUACC